Molecule: ribosomal RNA, 862 nt
Filed under: uncultured bacterium
Lineage: Bacteria
Description: bacterial SSU rRNA
Rfam family: Bacterial small subunit ribosomal RNA
Source: RNAcentral
UCAGGAUGAACGCUGGCGGCGUGCCUAACACAUGCAAGUCGAGCGAUUUACUUCUGUAAAGAGCGGCGGACGGGUGAGUAACGCGUGGGUAACCUGCCCUGUACACACGGAUAACAUACCGAAAGGUAUGCUAAUACGAGAUAAUAUACUUUUAUCGCAUGGUAGAAGUAUCAAAGCUUUUGCGGUACAGGAUGGACCCGCGUCUGAUUAGCUAGUUGGUAAGGUAACGGCUUACCAAGGCGACGAUCAGUAGCCGACCUGAGAGGGUGAUCGGCCACAUUGGAACUGAGACACGGUCCAAACUCCUACGGGAGGCAGCAGUGGGGAAUAUUGCACAAUGGGCGAAAGCCUGAUGCAGCAACGCCGCGUGAGCGAUGAAGGCCUUCGGGUCGUAAAGCUCUGUCCUCAAGGAAGAUAAUGACGGUACUUGAGGAGGAAGCCCCGGCUAACUACGUGCCAGCAGCCGCGGUAAUACGUAGGGGGCUAGCGUUAUCCGGAAUUACUGGGCGUAAAGGGUGCGUAGGUGGUUUCUUAAGUCAGAGGUGAAAGGCUACGGCUCAACCGUAGUAAGCCUUUGAAACUGGGAAACUUGAGUGCAGGAGAGGAGAGUGGAAUUCCUAGUGUAGCGGUGAAAUGCGUAGAUAUUAGGAGGAACACCAGUUGCGAAGGCGGCUCUCUGGACUGUAACUGACACUGAGGCACGAAAGCGUGGGGAGCAAACAGGAUUAGAUACCCUGGUAGUCCACGCCGUAAACGAUGAGUACUAGCUGUCGGAGGUUACCCCCUUCGGUGGCGCAGCUAACGCAUUAAGUACUCCGCCUGGGAAGUACGCUCGCAAGAGUGAAACUCAAAGGAAUUGACG